CCCGAAGACGAAUUUUCUACCCUUGUUUGUUAAAUGGUUGGAGAUCCAUCUUCAUCCAUAUCUGCAACUGAGGAUGCAGUUCCGAACACCAGCGUAGGAGCUCUAUGUGGUGGAUCUUCAAAUAACACACACCCUUUACAAAUUUCCCAACAACUGUCCGCUUGGCGUACCUAGAAAAAAAUUAAAGGAAAUUAAUUUAUGAAAUUAAAUGUAAUAUAAUUAAAUAUUUAAAAUAAAUUGUGAAAACACUUUUUUCGUCGUAGUAAUUAGCGCCGUUUUCAUGUCUACUUGUGGCUGCUAACAAUGCUUGAUACCAUUUGUUCAAACUUGGCUGAAUAUGUUUCUUCCAUCUUGAAGAACAGCUCUCGUUGUUUUGAAUAUUCACUGGAGUAGUG
This 395-nucleotide long non-coding RNA is filed under the name Malus domestica (apple). Its description in RNAcentral is "long non-coding RNA (MDOM_LNC006923)". The record is from RNAcentral. Lineage: Eukaryota; Viridiplantae; Streptophyta; Magnoliopsida; Rosales; Rosaceae.